UUAAGUUCAGCGGGUAUUCCUACCUGAUCCGAGGUCAACAUUUCAGAAGUUGGGUGUUUUACGGACGUGGACGCGCCGCGCUCCCGGUGCGAGUUGUGCAAACUACUGCGCAUGAGAGGCUGCGGCGAGACCGCCACUGUAUUUCGGGGCCGGGAUCCCGUCUUAGGGGUUCCCGAUCCCCAACGCCGGACCCCCGGAGG
RNAcentral lists this unclassified non-coding RNA (200 nucleotides) under Trichoderma sp. RNAcentral describes it as "partial internal transcribed spacer 2". Lineage: Eukaryota; Fungi; Ascomycota; Sordariomycetes; Hypocreales; Hypocreaceae. The record is from RNAcentral.